CGCCCGUCGCUCCUACCGAUUGGAUGUGCUGGUGAAGUGUUGGGAUUGGCGGUUGAUGGCGGUUCGCCGCACUCUGCCACCGAAAACAUCAUUAAACCCUCCCAUCUAGAGGAAGGAGAAGUCGUAACAAGGUUUCC
Molecule: ribosomal RNA, 137 nt
Filed under: uncultured Trebouxiophyceae
Lineage: Eukaryota; Viridiplantae; Chlorophyta; Trebouxiophyceae
Description: partial small subunit ribosomal RNA
Rfam family: Eukaryotic small subunit ribosomal RNA
Source: RNAcentral